RNAcentral lists this ribosomal RNA (750 nucleotides) under uncultured bacterium. RNAcentral describes it as "bacterial SSU rRNA". It matches the Rfam family "Bacterial small subunit ribosomal RNA", at positions 43 to 783 of the family's 1533-position model. The record is from RNAcentral.
CAGGCCUAACACAUGCAAGUCGAGCGGACUUAUCCUUCGGGAUAGGUUAGCGGCGGACGGGUGAGUAACACGUAGGCAACCUGCCUGUAAGAUCGGGAUAACUACCGGAAACGGUAGCUAAGACCGGAUAGCUGGUUUCUCCGCAUGGGGGAAUCAUGAAACACGGGGCAACCUGUGGCUUACGGAUGGGCCUGCGGCGCAUUAGCUAGUUGGUGGGGUAACGGCCCACCAAGGCGACGAUGCGUAGCCGACCUGAGAGGGUGAUCGGCCACACAGGGACUGAGACACGGCCCAGACUCCUACGGGAGGCAGCAGUAGGGAAUCUUCCGCAAUGGGCGCAAGCCUGACGGAGCAACGCCGCGUGAGUGAUGAAGGUUUUCGGAUCGUAAAGCUCUGUUGCCAAGGAAGAACGCCUCGGAGAGUAACUGCUCUGAGGGUGACGGUACUUGAGAAGAAAGCCCCGGCUAACUACGUGCCAGCAGCCGCGGUAAUACGUAGGGGGCAAGCGUUGUCCGGAAUUAUUGGGCGUAAAGCGCGCGCAGGCGGUCUUUUAAGUUUGGUGUUUAAGCCCGGGGCUCAACCCCGGUUCGCACUGAAAACUGGGAGACUUGAGUGCAGGAGAGGAAAGCGGAAUUCCACGUGUAGCGGUGAAAUGCGUAGAGAUGUGGAGGAACACCAGUGGCGAGGGCGGCUUUCUGGACUGUAACUGACGCUGAGGCGCGAAAGCGUGGGGAGCAAACAGGAUUAGAU